This 1404-nucleotide ribosomal RNA is filed under the name Streptococcus sp. 2010_Ileo_MS_IIIa. Its description in RNAcentral is "bacterial SSU rRNA". It matches the Rfam family "Bacterial small subunit ribosomal RNA". The record is from RNAcentral. Lineage: Bacteria; Bacillati; Bacillota; Bacilli; Lactobacillales; Streptococcaceae.
GACGCUGAAGAGAGGAGCUUGCUCUUCUUGGAUGAGUUGCGAACGGGUGAGUAACGCGUAGGUAACCUGCCUUGUAGCGGGGGAUAACUAUUGGAAACGAUAGCUAAUACCGCAUAACAAUGGAUGACACAUGUCAUUUAUUUGAAAGGGGCAAUUGCUCCACUACAAGAUGGACCUGCGUUGUAUUAGCUAGUAGGUGAGGUAACGGCUCACCUAGGCGACGAUACAUAGCCGACCUGAGAGGGUGAUCGGCCACACUGGGACUGAGACACGGCCCAGACUCCUACGGGAGGCAGCAGUAGGGAAUCUUCGGCAAUGGGGGCAACCCUGACCGAGCAACGCCGCGUGAGUGAAGAAGGUUUUCGGAUCGUAAAGCUCUGUUGUAAGUCAAGAACGAGUGUGAGAGUGGAAAGUUCACACUGUGACGGUAGCUUACCAGAAAGGGACGGCUAACUACGUGCCAGCAGCCGCGGUAAUACGUAGGUCCCGAGCGUUGUCCGGAUUUAUUGGGCGUAAAGCGAGCGCAGGCGGUUUGAUAAGUCUGAAGUUAAAGGCUGUGGCUCAACCAUAGUUCGCUUUGGAAACUGUCAAACUUGAGUGCAGAAGGGGAGAGUGGAAUUCCAUGUGUAGCGGUGAAAUGCGUAGAUAUAUGGAGGAACACCGGUGGCGAAAGCGGCUCUCUGGUCUGUAACUGACGCUGAGGCUCGAAAGCGUGGGGAGCGAACAGGAUUAGAUACCCUGGUAGUCCACGCCGUAAACGAUGAGUGCUAGGUGUUGGAUCCUUUCCGGGAUUCAGUGCCGCAGCUAACGCAUUAAGCACUCCGCCUGGGGAGUACGACCGCAAGGUUGAAACUCAAAGGAAUUGACGGGGGCCCGCACAAGCGGUGGAGCAUGUGGUUUAAUUCGAAGCAACGCGAAGAACCUUACCAGGUCUUGACAUCCCGAUGCUAUUUCUAGAGAUAGAAAGUUACUUCGGUACAUCGGUGACAGGUGGUGCAUGGUUGUCGUCAGCUCGUGUCGUGAGAUGUUGGGUUAAGUCCCGCAACGAGCGCAACCCCUAUUGUUAGUUGCCAUCAUUCAGUUGGGCACUCUAGCGAGACUGCCGGUAAUAAACCGGAGGAAGGUGGGGAUGACGUCAAAUCAUCAUGCCCCUUAUGACCUGGGCUACACACGUGCUACAAUGGUUGGUACAACGAGUUGCGAGUCGGUGACGGCAAGCUAAUCUCUUAAAGCCAAUCUCAGUUCGGAUUGUAGGCUGCAACUCGCCUACAUGAAGUCGGAAUCGCUAGUAAUCGCGGAUCAGCACGCCGCGGUGAAUACGUUCCCGGGCCUUGUACACACCGCCCGUCACACCACGAGAGUUUGUAACACCCGAAGUCGGUGAGGUAACCUUUNNAGCCAGCC